Molecule: ribosomal RNA, 471 nt
Filed under: uncultured bacterium
Lineage: Bacteria
Description: partial 16S ribosomal RNA
Rfam family: Bacterial small subunit ribosomal RNA
Source: RNAcentral
GACGAACGCUGGCGGCGUGCUUAACACAUGCAAGUCGAACGAUGAAGCGGUGCUUGCACCGUGGAUUAGUGGCGAACGGGUGAGUAAUACGUGAGUGACCUACCUUUGACUCUGGGAUAAGCCUGGGAAACUGGGUCUAAUACCGGAUACGACCAAUCUCUGCAUGGGGUGUUGGUGGAAAGCGUUAUGGAGUGGUUUUAGAUGGGCUCACGGCCUAUCAGCUUGCUGGUGAGGUAAUGGCUUACCAAGGCGACGACGGGUAGCCGGCCUGAGAGGGUGACCGGCCACACUGGGACUGAGACACGGCCCAGACUCCUACGGGAGGCAGCAGUGGGGAAUAUUGCACAAUGGGCGCAAGCCUGAUGCAGCGACGCCGCGUGAGGGAUGACGGCCUUCGGGUUGUAAACCUCUGUUAGCAUCGAAGAAGCGAAAGUGACGGUAGGUGCAGAGAAAGCGCCGGCUAACUACGUG